Acanthosepion pharaonis is the source of this 109-nucleotide non-coding RNA. The record is from the annotation of a GenBank genome assembly. Lineage: Eukaryota; Metazoa; Mollusca; Cephalopoda; Sepiida; Sepiidae.
UACAGCCACAUCAUGUUGAAACACUAGUUCCUGGUCAUCGAAGUUAAGCAACAUUGAGCCUGUUCAGUACCUAGAUGGGUGACUGCUUGGGAAUACCAGGUGCUGUAAG